RNAcentral lists this ribosomal RNA (453 nucleotides) under uncultured bacterium. RNAcentral describes it as "bacterial SSU rRNA". It matches the Rfam family "Bacterial small subunit ribosomal RNA", at positions 340 to 786 of the family's 1533-position model. The record is from RNAcentral.
UACGGAAGGCAGCAGUGGGGAAUAUUGCACAAUGGGCGCAAGCCUGAUGCAGCCAUGCCGCGUGUAUGAAGAAGGCCUUCGGGUUGUAAAGUACUUUCAGUCGUGAGGAAGGUGUUAAGGUUAAUAACCUUAGCAAUUGACGUUAGCGACAGAAGAAGCACCGGCUAACUCCGUGCCAGCAGCCGCGGUAAUACGGAGGGUGCGAGCGUUAAUCGGAAUUACUGGGCGUAAAGGGCACGUAGGCGGUUAAUUAAGUUGGAUGUGAAAUCCCCGGGCUUAACCUGGGAAUGGCAUUCAAGACUGGUUAGCUAGAGUCUUGUAGAGGGGGUAGAAUUCCAUGUGUAGCGGUGAAAUGCGUAGAGAUGUGGAGGAAUACCGGUGGCGAAGGCGGCCCCUGGACAAAGACUGACGCUCAUGUGCGAAAGCGUGGGGAGCAAACGAGGAUUAGAUACC